This 376-nucleotide ribosomal RNA is filed under the name uncultured bacterium. Its description in RNAcentral is "bacterial SSU rRNA". It matches the Rfam family "Bacterial small subunit ribosomal RNA", at positions 523 to 898 of the family's 1533-position model. The record is from RNAcentral.
AUACGUAGGGAGCAAGCGUUGUCCGGAUUUACUGGGUGUAAAGGGUGCGUAGGCGGCUUAACAAGUCAGGUGUGAAAGCCAUGGGCUUAACUCAUGGACUGCACUUGAAACUGUAAAGCUUGAGUGAAGUAGAGGCAGGCGGAAUUCCCGGUGUAGCGGUGAAAUGCGUAGAGAUCGGGAGGAACACCAGUGGCGAAGGCGGCCUGCUGGGCUUUAACUGACGCUGAGGCACGAAAGCAUGGGUAGCAAACAGGAUUAGAUACCCUGGUAGUCCAUGCUGUAAACGAUGAUUACUAGGUGUGGGGGGUCUGACCCCUUCCGUGCCGGAGUUAACACAAUAAGUAAUCCACCUGGGAAGUACGACCGCAAGGUUGAA